Molecule: long non-coding RNA, 2323 nt
Filed under: Triticum aestivum (bread wheat)
Lineage: Eukaryota; Viridiplantae; Streptophyta; Magnoliopsida; Poales; Poaceae
Description: long non-coding RNA (TAES_LNC013034)
Source: RNAcentral
GUCUUGCAGAUUACCAUGGCCGCUGACGCUGAUGUCAUGAUUAAGAGGUUUGCAGAAAAGAAACCGCAUGUAUCGAUCUCAUUUUUUGGGACUGUUUACCUGACAUCCGAUUGAAAACUAAUUGGUUUUCAAUCAGAUUUUCCAACCAAUUGAAAUAUGACAGUUGCACGUCCUUGUCCGCUGUAAAUCUGCUUGUCUUUGUCCACUGUAUAGGUGAGCGUCCCUCUCUAGCAUUACUCUCCCAGUAGACCUUCAGAAACCUGUGCAACAGAAACAGUAGACCUUCAUGUAAAAUUGGGUCAAAACACAUGUGGAUUGCCACUGUUCAUCAGUACUACUGUCAAAAAGGUUGUUGGAAAUCUAAAAUUACUGCACAAGAAUGCAGAUUACUAUAUGGGUCAUGAGCUAAAAUAGUGAAAAGGGCAGAAUCUACACAAAAAUCUGAUAAUUGCUCAAACAGCAGCACUGUACAUCCCAACUGUAAAAGAGGGUACCUACAAACAGGAGCACAUGAUCAAGCAUGUAUUACAGUACACAUAGAAUCUGAGUUUUUUAGCUGGCAAAACAUUGUUUUAACAUGCUGCAAAUCAAGAACAUAAGGACUGGAAAAUGUUCAAAUUACUAUACCCUACAGAUGAGAAUAACAGAGGAGAACACGCUGUAAACUGUGCAGCAUAACACUGUAAAAAAGGGCUAAGCAAAAUAGUAAAUCAACCUGGAAAAAUUUCAUGACCUAACAUAUAGAGACAUGAAUAAUAAAUUACUGUACCCUACAAAGGAGAAUACACUGUAAAACUGUGCAACAAUUCACUGUAAUCAACAUACAUAGACAUAAAUAAACAGAGUACUUUCACCUGAAGCUGUAAACCAUGCUGGAAACUGGCUAUUAGCCAACAUACAUAGACAUGAACAAAUAUAUUACUGUAACCUGGAAGCUAUAAUAGCACAUAUAUUCAUUGUGACCUUGCUAUCUACAAACUAUAAUUAAUAAAGUUUGGCACUGUAGAAUGUUCAACUUACUGUGACCUAUAGGGUGUGUUUGGUUGAGCCUACCUUUGCCCCACCAAAUAUUUGGCUAGCCGAAAUAGUGAUCAAGAUUUUGUGUGCCCAUGAGUUGGCCAACUUUAGCUAAAAAUGAACUAGAGUUGGUAAGGAGCCGUUGGCAUGCCAAAAUGUUGGUAACCAUCUAAACCAAGACCAAAGUUUUGGUCAUAGCCACAAAAUUGGUAAGGUACACGUUGGCUACAAACCAAACAUACCCUAUUAGUUCAAAUUACUAAAACGAUGAACUACUUCCAAACAAACAUCCAAACUGGCAUAAAACAACAGAACCAUGCACUACUAAGAAAAAUACAAGCACUGACAUCAUGUUUCCUGCUACAUGCACUACUGUUGAGCAAAAGGAUCAUUCAUCCAAGUAUAAACAAUCCUGGCUACUUUUAAUUGGCAAAUGUACAGCUUCAUGCAGGUGAAGCAAGCAUUCAGGAAGAGGAGCUAUACCUACAAGAUGAAGAAGAUGCAUUCCUUAAUGUACGGCCAAUAAUUGUCUUACUUCUCCUGAAAAAGAAAACCAAUCUCAGUUGUGAUGUAUCUAACUGUUUUUCUUUUUCUUUUUGCUACCUAGCAACUGGAUAAGGGUAUUCGACAAAAAAUAACAACAUUGUCCCAGAUUACACAGUUGCCAAAAAUAACUAACACCAACCCCCAAAAGGUAAAAAAGAAUUGAACUGGUACGGUAAGAGACUAAAAUUUGCAGUCCCAACAUUACGAUCUGAAGGGGAUAUCUCAAAAAAUAUCGACACAUUCAUAAGUACACAGCACACACACCCUCUCAGCUUAGCGACUACUCCGUACAUUACAGCGAUAUGUUACAAGCACAAAAACCUAUCCCAGUAGAACACUAAUAGAUAUGGCAACUAAUGAGGAAGAAUUUUAAUACUAAUAGAGUACAAUUGGUCAAAACUCAAAUCUGUAACUGUCUGUGUUCGCGUUCAUCCAACCAGAUCUAGAAAAAAUACACUGGGAGAUUCAAAGCGGGAGGAAGAGAUGUAGAAACCACCCACCAAAGAACGCGAGACGACGGCCGACCAAAUCUUCAAUCACGCGGCGAGGGGGAGAUCGGAAUGGAAAUCGCCAUGGAGGGGUUGCUUCUGCUUGAACAGGGCAAGGAGAAGGGAAAGGGACAAGCAGAUAGCGAGGAGAAUAAGAAAAAUUCAAAGGUGAAAAUGACAGCGGCGCGUGGAUUGACAGGUAGGCGGAAACUCGGUUGCGAGUAGGCGGAGCUUCAUGGAAGUGAUGCAAGUUCAGUGAAAACAGGCUAAAC